CAGUAGCCGCGGGAAUACGGAGGGAGCUAGCGUCGUUCGGAAUUACUGGGCGUAAAGCGCGCGUAGGCGGUUACUCAAGUCAGAGGUGAAAGCCCGGGGCUCAACCCCGGAACUGCCUUUGAAACUAGGUGACUAGAAUCUUGGAGAGGUCAGUGGAAUUCCGAGUGUAGAGGUGAAAUUCGUAGGUAUUCGGAAGAACAUCAGUGGCGAAGGCGACUGACUGGACAAGUAUUGACGCUGAGGUGCGAAAGCGUGGGGAGCAAACAGGAUUAGAUACCCCAGUAGUCCCUGUCUCUUAUAC
RNAcentral lists this ribosomal RNA (301 nucleotides) under uncultured bacterium. RNAcentral's name for it is "partial 16S ribosomal RNA". It matches the Rfam family "Bacterial small subunit ribosomal RNA", at positions 509 to 807 of the family's 1533-position model. The record is from RNAcentral.